GUCUGACUUGGCUCUGGGGGAGUUUUUGGGUGAUCGUUUUGAGUGAUCCGGGGAGAGAAAGGGUCUGGGGGAGGUUUUGGGUAAUCCGGGGAGAGAAAGGGUCUGGGGGAGGUGUUGGGUGAUUGUUUUGAGUGAUCCGGGGAGAGAAAGGGUCUGGGGGAGGUGUUGGGUGAUUGUUUUGAGUGAUCCGGGGAGAGAAAGGGUCUGGGGGAGGUGUUGGGUGAUUGUUUUGAGUGAUCCGGGGAGGAAAGGGUAUGGGAGAGGUUUUGGGUGAUCCUGGGGGAGAAAGGGUUUGGGGGAGAUCUAGGGUGAUCCUGGGAGAAGCCUUGGGUGAUUCUGGGGGCAGAAAGGGUUUGGGGGAGGCUUUGGGUGACCGGUGAUGUGAUGUGUUUGAGCAGCCUGCCGCCAGGACCGUCUUGGCGGCGGGACGUCACCUCUGCUGCUCCUAAGGAAACUCAGCGGCCUUUCCCUCCCUUAUUUCUCCCCUCCGGCGCCUCCUGCACCUAGCUGCCGAUACAAAGGCCUGGCUGGGAGAAAUCUCAAGCCACCUGUGAGAUCAGUGAAGAGCGGCGCCCGUUCCAUGUAUUAUUCCUCAAGGGCGGGGAGGCCAGCUGGCCAAGUCGUCUGUGACAUCAAGAUCAAGCUCCCUGCCCCGCCCUGCUGAUGCCCGCUGCCCCGAGGGUGAGUUUUGGGUGGUGGCCAGGCGCCUUGUUCACCCGUGCCAUCAGGAUCACCCGCUGCCCCCAGGCUCUGAGCGCUCUCGUCUUGUGGCGAACAAAGGGAACCCACUGCUGUCUUCAACUUGUACAAACAGGAUGCUCGUCACCACUCAUAACCAAGGCAUUACUGGUGAGAGAAAUCCAUCGUCAGCACACUGUCAGCACAUCAUCACUAGACUGUCAGCACAUCAUCACUAGACUGUCAGCACAUCAUCACCACACUGUCAGCAUGUCACCACCAGACUGUCGGCACAUCAUCACCACACUGUCAGCACAUCACUACCAGACUGUUGGCACAUCAUCACCACACUGUCAGCACGUCACCACCAGACUGUCAUCACGUCGUCACCCUCAUAAACAUUCUGCCUGUCAGGGUUAAGGUCAAGACAGGGUGGGCUGACUAUUGUUGCCAUGCUGACCUCCC
This is a long non-coding RNA of Eriocheir sinensis (Chinese mitten crab), 1143 nucleotides long. RefSeq lists it as uncharacterized. The transcript has 6 exons. The record is from RefSeq and is a predicted model, not a curated record. NCBI's taxonomy places the organism in Eukaryota, Metazoa, Arthropoda, Malacostraca, Decapoda, Varunidae.